UGGGGAAUAUUGCGCAAUGGGGGAAACCCUGACGCAGCGACGCCGCGUGCGGGAUGAUGGCCUUCGGGUUGUAAACCGCUUUUGAUUGGGAGCAAGCCUUUUGGGUGAGUGUACCUUUCGAAUAAGCGCCGGCUAACUACGUGCCAGCAGCCGCGGUAAUACGUAGGGCGCAAGCGUUAUCCGGAAUUAUUGGGCGUAAAGAGCUUGUAGGCGGUUCGUCGCGUCUGGUGUGAAAGCCCAUCGCUUAACGGUGGGUUUGCGCCGGGUACGGGCGGGCUAGAGUGCAGUAGGGGAGACUGGAAUUCCCGGUGUAACGGUGGAAUGUGUAGAUAUCGGGAAGAACACCAAUGGCGAAGGCAGGUCUCUGGGCUGUUACUGACGCUGAGAAGCGAAAGCGUGGGGAGCGAACAGG
This 412-nucleotide ribosomal RNA is filed under the name Verrucomicrobiota bacterium. Its description in RNAcentral is "Verrucomicrobia bacterium partial 16S ribosomal RNA". It matches the Rfam family "Bacterial small subunit ribosomal RNA", at positions 355 to 776 of the family's 1533-position model. Lineage: Bacteria; Pseudomonadati; Verrucomicrobiota. The record is from RNAcentral.